This 89-nucleotide ribosomal RNA is filed under the name uncultured bacterium. RNAcentral describes it as "partial 16S ribosomal RNA". The record is from RNAcentral.
CCACAUCACGAAAAGUGGAUUGUACUAGAAGUCUGCAGGCUGACCCGCAAGGGAGGCAGCGGCCCAAGGUAUGAUCCAUGAUUGGGGUG